UGAUAUGCCAGGUGAGGAAUAGACUGAG
Molecule: non-coding RNA, 28 nt
Filed under: Mus musculus (house mouse)
Lineage: Eukaryota; Metazoa; Chordata; Mammalia; Rodentia; Muridae
Source: RNAcentral